Pongo pygmaeus (Bornean orangutan) is the source of this 694-nucleotide long non-coding RNA. RefSeq lists it as uncharacterized. The record is from RefSeq and is a predicted model, not a curated record. NCBI's taxonomy places the organism in Eukaryota, Metazoa, Chordata, Mammalia, Primates, Hominidae. The transcript has 3 exons.
UGAAAGAGGAUGGCAAUCUCGCUGAAGCUGUUUCUUUUUCUUCACAACAUAUAGGAAAGUGUUGCCCCUUUUUGGAGAAAGUAACAACCUCCACCGACACUACUUGAAUCAGUAUUGGACAAAUGUCAGGUACUUGGGAAACUCUCCAGCCCUAUCCCCUGUCCUGGCCGGGUGUGCUCCAAGUGCACCAUUUGGCUAAGUCAAUUUGAAAUAUUUGGGAGACCUUUGUACCUACGAUUCCUUCUGCUUGGAAGAUCCUUUCUGUUUUGUCAGCUCUUACUUCCCUGUUGUGGAAAACUGAUCUGACCUCCUAGUCCUGAAUCAGGGGCCAUAAAGAAAACUGAUGAGGACAACUGGCCUCCCAGUAUGUGGAUUCAGUUUCCGUAUGUCAAUUUAUCAACUCCCACUGGUAGUCUGAAGAGUUAUGGCUACUGGAGAACAGAAAAUCACCAGUAUUAAUAAAAGCAAUUUUAAGUGUUUACCUUUUAGUAUUUGAAUAGCUUUGUUAAAGAGACAUACUCAAGAAUACUAUGAAGAGACUUAUUGUACUCCUUACCUGGAGAUAAUUGUGAUGCCAGAAAUUCAAAUUUAUAUUCAACAAUAUGGUUUUUCACCAUCAAUAUUAUAAACAUCUAGGCAGUGUUUAUUGUUUACGCAUUUGCCAUCCUCUAAAAUGAGAUUAUUCUAAGCAUAA